Molecule: long non-coding RNA, 718 nt
Filed under: Nicotiana benthamiana
Lineage: Eukaryota; Viridiplantae; Streptophyta; Magnoliopsida; Solanales; Solanaceae
Description: long non-coding RNA (NBEN_LNC005042)
Source: RNAcentral
UCUAUUUAAGGCAUUUGUAUCUUCUCUCUUUAGUGUUAUUUCACUUGUGUAAAUUUGGAGUGGAAUAAAAUAUUGGUUGUGUCCGAGGAGUAGGCAAAGUUGGCCGAACCUCGUAAAUUCUGGUGCUCCUUUUAUUAUUGCUUUAUUGUCUUAUUUAUUAUUUAGUGGCUGGCAUAAUUUUUAGUAUAGUAGUUGUGACUCAUUCACACUAUAUAUAUUUUGCUUUCGCAAUAAUUGGUAUAAGAGCUAAAGUACUUUCUAAGUAUGCUCUGUGGAUUGCAGCUAGUCUAAUCUUCCACAUCAGAAAAGAUUUAUCUUGGUAACUGAGGCAAGGUUCUGUCUGAGUAUGCUCUGUGGUUGCAGCCUGGUUUGAUCUUUUACAUCAAAAAGAAAAUAAUCUUGAUUUGUGUCGUCAGCUAUUAAAUCCAAGGUUCUGUUUGAGUAUACUCAGUGGUUGCAGCCUGGUCUGAUCUUCUACAUCAGAAAGGAAAUAAUCUUGAUUUGUGUCAAAAUGGGAGACAAUAAAUAAGAAGAAUCUACAUCAAGUGUCAGCAACACAUCAGCAUUGGCAUCUUCGCUUAUGACAAGCACGUGCGAAAUUUGUGGUAAAAUUUUUUGACGUGUCUGGACAUAUUGGGAUGUGGCAAGGAGAGGUUCUAGAUGUAAUUUUUCAACAAGGGUUAGAUCUGGCCAUUGAAGAAAAGAAACCAGAUGUAAU